GUGGGGAAUUUUGGACAAUGGGCGCAAGCCUGAUCCAGCAAUGCCGCGUGCAGGAAGAAGGCCUUCGGGUUGUAAACUGCUUUUGUACGGAACGAAACGGUCCGGGUUAAUACCCUGGGCUAAUGACGGUACCGUAAGAAUAAGCACCGGCUAACUACGUGCCAGCAGUCGCGGUAAUACGUAGGGUGCAAGCGUUAAUCGGAAUUACUGGGCGUAAAGCGUGCGCAGGCGGUUUUGUAAGACAGGCGUGAAAUCCCCGGGCUCAACCUGGGAAUUGCGCUUGUGACUGCAAGGCUGGAGUGCGGCAGAGGGGGAUGGAAUUCCGCGUGUAGCAGUGAAAUGCGUAGAUAUGCGGAGGAACACCGAUGGCGAAGGCAAUCCCCUGGGCCUGCACUGACGCUCAUGCACGAAAGCGUGGGGAGCAAACAGGAUUAGAAACCCUAGUAGUCC
Molecule: ribosomal RNA, 450 nt
Filed under: uncultured bacterium
Lineage: Bacteria
Description: partial 16S ribosomal RNA
Rfam family: Bacterial small subunit ribosomal RNA
Source: RNAcentral